AAAGCGUAAUAGCUCACUAGUCGAGUCGGCCUGCGCGGAAGAUGUAACGGGGCUAAAACUAUGUGCCGAAGCUGCGGAUUUGACAUUAGUCAAGUGGUAGGGGAGCGUUCUGUAAGCCGAUGAAGGUGUAUUGAGAAGUAUGCUGGAGGUAUCAGAAGUGCGAAUGCUGACGUGAGUAACGACAAAACGGGUGAAAAACCCGUUCGCCGAAAGACCAAGGGUUCCAGUCCAACGUUAAUCGGGGCUGGGUGAGUCGACCCCUAAGGCGAGGCCGAAAGGCGUAGUCGAUGGGAAAAUGGUUAAUAUUCCAUUACUUCUGUGUAAUGCGAUGAGAGGACGGAGAAGGCUAAAUCAGCCUGGCGUUGGUUGUCCAGGUGAAAGGAUGUAGGCAUGUAUCUUAGGCAAAUCCGGGGUACUCUAUGCUGAGAUCUGAUAGCAAGCUGUACUUGUACAGCGAAGUGGUUGAUGCCAUGCUUCCAGGAAAAGUCUCUAAGCUUCAGUUACACAGGAAUCGUACCCGAAACCGACACAGGUGGUCAGGUCGAGUAGACCAAGGCGCUUGAGAGAACUCUGCUGAAGGAACUAGGCAAAAUGGUACCGUAACUUCGGGAGAAGGUACGCUGUUGUUGGUGAUGGAACUCGCUUCCUGAGCUGACGACAGCCGCAGAAACCAGGCCGCUGCAACUGUUUAUUAAAAACAUAGCACUCUGCAAACACGAAAGUGGACGUAUAGGGUGUGAUGCCUGCCCGGUGCUGGAAGGUUAAUUGAUGGGGUUAGCGUAAGCGAAGCUCUUGAUCGAAGCCCCAGUAAACGGCGGCCGUAACUAUAACGGUCCUAAGGUAGCGAAAUUCCUUGUCGGGUAAGUUCCGACCUGCACGAAUGGCAUAAUGAUGGCGGCGCUGUCUCCAGCAGAGGCUCAGUGAAAUCGAAAUCGCUGUGAAGAUGCAGUGUACCCGCGGCUAGACGGAAAGACCCCGUGAACCUUUACUGCAGCUUGACACUGAACUUUGACCUUACUUGUGUAGGAUAGGUGGGAGGCUUUGAAGCUGGAACGCUAGUUCCAGUGGAGCCGUCCUUGAAAUACCACCCUGGUAAUGUUGAGGUUCUAACUCUGUCCCGUGAUCCGGGACGAGGACCGUGUCUGGUGGGUAGUUUGACUGGGGCGGUCUCCUCCUAAAGAGUAACGGAGGAGUACGAAGGUGCGCUCAGCGUGGUCGGAAAUCACGCGUAGAGUAUAAAGGCAAAAGCGCGCUUAACUGCGAGACCCACAAGUCGAGCAGGUACGAAAGUAGGUCUUAGUGAUCCGGUGGUUCUGUAUGGAAGGGCCAUCGCUCAACGGAUAAAAGGUACUCUGGGGAUAACAGGCUGAUACCGCCCAAGAGUUCAUAUCGACGGCGGUGUUUGGCACCUCGAUGUCGGCUCAUCUCAUCCUGGGGCUGAAGCAGGUCCCAAGGGUAUGGCUGUUCGCCAUUUAAAGAGGUACGCGAGCUGGGUUUAGAACGUCGUGAGACAGUUCGGUCCCUAUCUACCGUGGGCGCUGGAAAUUUGAGAGGAUCUGCUCCUAGUACGAGAGGACCAGAGUGGACGAACCUCUGGUGUACCGGUUGUGACGCCAGUCGCAUCGCCGGGUAGCUAUGUUCGGAAGGGAUAACCGCUGAAAGCAUCUAAGCGGGAAGCCUACCUCAAGAUAAGAUUUCCCUAGGACUUUAUGUCCUCUAAAGAGCCGUUCGAGACUAGGACGUUGAUAGGUUGGAUGUGGAAGCAUAGUGAUAUGUGAAGCUGACCAAUACUAAUUGCUCGUGAGGCUUGACUAU
Molecule: ribosomal RNA, 1815 nt
Filed under: Acinetobacter baumannii
Lineage: Bacteria; Pseudomonadati; Pseudomonadota; Gammaproteobacteria; Moraxellales; Moraxellaceae
Description: bacterial LSU rRNA
Rfam family: Bacterial large subunit ribosomal RNA
Source: RNAcentral